This 797-nucleotide ribosomal RNA is filed under the name uncultured bacterium. RNAcentral describes it as "bacterial SSU rRNA". It matches the Rfam family "Bacterial small subunit ribosomal RNA", at positions 541 to 1339 of the family's 1533-position model. The record is from RNAcentral.
UUAAUCGGAAUUACUGGGCGUAAAGCGAGCGCAGACGGUUACUUAAGCAGGAUGUGAAAUCCCCGGGCUCAACCUGGGAACUGCGUUCUGAACUGGGUGACUAGAGUGUGUCAGAGGGAGGUAGAAUUCCACGUGUAGCAGUGAAAUGUGUAGAGAUGUGGAGGAAUACCGAUGGCGAAGGCAGCCUCCUGGGAUAACACUGACGUUCAUGCUCGAAAGCGUGGGUAGCAAACAGGAUUAGAUACCCUGGUAGUCCACGCCCUAAACGAUGUCAAUUAGCUGUUGGGCAACUUGAUUGCUUAGUAGCGUAGCUAACGCGUGAAAUUGACCGCCUGGGGAGUACGGUCGCAAGAUUAAAACUCAAAGGAAUUGACGGGGACCCGCACAAGCGGUGGAUGAUGUGGAUUAAUUCGAUGCAACGCGAAGAACCUUACCUGGUCUUGACAUGUACGGAAUCCUCCAGAGACGGAGGAGUGCCUUCGGGAGCCGUAACACAGGUGCUGCAUGGCUGUCGUCAGCUCGUGUCGUGAGAUGUUGGGUUAAGUCCCGCAACGAGCGCAACCCUUGUCAUUAGUUGCCAUCAUUUAGUUGGGCACUCUAAUGAGACUGCCGGUGACAAGCCGGAGGAAGGUGGGGAUGACGUCAAGUCCUCAUGGCCCUUAUGACCAGGGCUUCACACGUCAUACAAUGGUCGGUACAGAGGGUAGCCAAGCCGCGAGGUGGAGCCAAUCUCACAAAACCGAUCGUAGUCCGGAUUGCACUCUGCAACUCGAGUGCAUGAAGUCGGAAUCGCUAGU